This 90-nucleotide transfer RNA is filed under the name Lentisphaerae bacterium ADurb.Bin242. RNAcentral's name for it is "tRNA-Ser". It matches the Rfam family "tRNA". From Rfam's summary of the family: Transfer RNA (tRNA) molecules are approximately 80 nucleotides in length. Their secondary structure includes four short double-helical elements and three loops (D, anti-codon, and T loops). Further hydrogen bonds mediate the characteristic L-shaped molecular structure. tRNAs have two regions of fundamental functional importance: the anti-codon, which is responsible for specific mRNA codon recognition, and the 3' end, to which the tRNAs corresponding amino acid is attached (by aminoacyl-tRNA synthetases). tRNAs cope with the degeneracy of the genetic code in two manners: having more than one tRNA (with a specific anti-codon) for a particular amino acid; and 'wobble' base-pairing, i.e. permitting non-standard base-pairing at the 3rd anti-codon position. Lineage: Bacteria; Pseudomonadati; Lentisphaerota. The record is from RNAcentral.
GGAGAGAUGGUCGAGUGGUUUAAGGCAGCGGUCUUGAAAACCGCCGCGGGAGCAAUCCCGCCGAGGGUUCGAAUCCCUCUCUCUCCGCCA